This 440-nucleotide ribosomal RNA is filed under the name uncultured bacterium. RNAcentral's name for it is "partial 16S ribosomal RNA". It matches the Rfam family "Bacterial small subunit ribosomal RNA", at positions 338 to 795 of the family's 1533-position model. The record is from RNAcentral.
CCUACGGCGGGCAGCAGUGGGGAAUAUUGCACAAUGGGGGAAACCCUGAUGCAGCGACGCCGCGUGAGUGAAGAAGUAAUUCGUUAUGUAAAGCUCUAUCAGCAGGGAAGAAAAUGACGGUACCUGAGUAAGAAGCCCCGGCUAACAACGUGCCAGCACGCGCGGUUAUACGUAGGGGGCAAGCGUUAUCCGGAUUGACUGGGUGUUAAGGGAGCGUAGACGGCAUUGCAAGACUGGAGUGAAAGGCGCGGGCUCAACCCGCGCGAUGCUCUGGAAACGGUACGGCUGGAGUGCAGGAGAGGUAAGUGGAAUUCGUCGUGUAGCGGUGAAAUGCGUAGAUAUUAGGAGGAACACCGGUGGCGAAGGCGGCUUACUGGAGUGUAACUGACGUUGAGGCUCGAAAGCGUGGGUAGCAAACAGGAUUAGAUACCCUUGUAGUC